Molecule: ribosomal RNA, 460 nt
Filed under: uncultured bacterium
Lineage: Bacteria
Description: partial 16S ribosomal RNA
Rfam family: Bacterial small subunit ribosomal RNA
Source: RNAcentral
CCUACGGGGGGCAGCAGUGAGGAAUAUUGGUCAAUGGGCUUACGCCUGAACCAGCCAAGUCGCGUGAGGGAAGACUGCCCUAUGGGUUGUAAACCUCUUUUGUCAGGGAGCAAUUGGCGCUACGUGUAGCGUUAUCGAGAGUACCUGAAGAAAAAGCAUCGGCUAACUCCGUGCCAGCAGCCGCGGUAAUACGGAGGAGGCGAGCGUUAUCCGGAUUGAUUGGGUUUAAAGGGUGCGUAGGCGGAAUGCCAAGUCAGCGGUAAAAUCGCGGGGCUCAACCUCGCUCCGCCGUUGAAACUGGCGUUCUUGAGUGGGCGAGAAGUAUGCGGAAUGCGUGGUGUAGCGGUGAAAUGCAUAGAUAUCACGCAGAACUCCGAUUGCGAAGGCAGCAUACCGGCGCCCAACUGACGCUGAAGCACGAAAGCGUGGGUAUCGAACAGGAUUAGAUACCCUAGUAGUC